This 374-nucleotide unclassified non-coding RNA is filed under the name soil metagenome. Its description in RNAcentral is "partial contains 5.8S ribosomal RNA, internal transcribed spacer 2, and large subunit ribosomal RNA". The stretch from base 1 to 121 matches the Rfam family "5.8S ribosomal RNA", at positions 35 to 154 of the family's 154-position model. The record is from RNAcentral.
GAUGAAGAACGCAUCGAAAUGCGAUAAGUAAUGCGAAUUGCAGAAUUCCAGUGAGUCAUCGAAUCUUUGAACGCACAUUGCGCCCUUUGGUAUUCCGAAGGGCAUGCCUGUUCGAGCGUCAUUAUCACCCCUCAAGCCCCCGGCUUGGUGUUGGACGGUUUGGCGGAGGCCCUCCGGGGCCCUUGCCCCUCCCAAAGACAAUGACGGCGGCCUCGUUGGACCCCCGGUACACUGAGUUCUUCACGGGACACGUACUGGAGUAAGGGUGCGCGGGGCACGGUCUGCCUCCCCUCAGGGAGAAUCUUCUUUUACAAGGUUGACCUCGGAUCAGGUAGGGAUACCCGCUGAACUUAAGCAUAUCAAUAAGCGGAGGA